Long non-coding RNA from Homo sapiens (human), 558 nucleotides. The record is from Ensembl. NCBI's taxonomy places the organism in Eukaryota, Metazoa, Chordata, Mammalia, Primates, Hominidae.
CUCAAGUUCUGGCUGGCACAGCUGUAGUCACAGACUUAAAACAGCCAUCUCAUUCGUUUUGUGCAGUUUUACAGUUGUUUAUGGCAGAGGUGUGAUUUGGGUCCCUGUUAUCUCAUCAUGGCUAGAAGCAGAAGUUUUGGCAAAUUAUUCUUGUAUCUUUACAUUUGAAAAUUAAGGGAAAGUUUCACCCAUGGAAUAUUAGCAUUGUGACAAUGCUAAUGAGAGUUUCUCCAGAAACUAUGAUCCUGGUCAGCAGCCAGUCAUUUCAUAGAAGAUAAACUUUAAGAAUAUUCUCUGAAGAGCAAUGAAACUGAGAUAAGAUCUAACCACUGUUACCAACAACCAAGAAAAAUAGAGCCGCCUGGACAGCUUCCGUGUGGACGUCUGAAACGGAGAGAGCUCAGUCACUCAGUGCUCAGCUGAGGUCCCAGAGGCCAAGCUGCACCCUCCUCUCUGUCCCUGCAGCACAGUUCAUCCACCUUCUGAAACUCACCAACAGAUGGGUGGGCGAGGAAAGAAAAUCAGUGUUUACAAUUCCAGUAAAGACAUUAAAAUUCA